RNAcentral lists this non-coding RNA (47 nucleotides) under Bacteroides cutis. RNAcentral also lists the same sequence under 1 other name. The record is from RNAcentral. Lineage: Bacteria; Pseudomonadati; Bacteroidota; Bacteroidia; Bacteroidales; Bacteroidaceae.
GUUGUGAUUUGCUUUCAUUUUAGUAUCUUUGAACCAUUGGAAACAAC